ACUGUUUCAACCUAUGAGUCGACCAAAACAGAAGCCUUAGGCGAGAUAGACAAUGAAAGAAAGCACUGGACUUUAUUUUCUUUCUCAAAUACAAAUCUUUUGUAAAACAAGGUUAAAUAUCCUUUCAAAAGUAAGAAUAGGUCGAGGAUUUUUUUUUACCUUGAAAAGGUAAGAGGUCAACUUAGAGCAAAGCAAGCUUGCGAAGCAACCGAGGCAAGAGCGUGAAGCAGCUUUUCCCGAACCAAAGGAUCCAGGUUCUCUUGAAAGAAAAUAUCUUGAUUCCUCAGCAUCAGGCGAUGUUUCAGCCCACUCCACUUCAUUGACCGAGUUCCACUUCAUUAACCGAGACUUUCUAUUCCAAACCGGUUCGGUUAAAGACAUAGCCACGACACCAACUCUGGGCUGUCGUAAAAGAUCAAUUCCCAGAUGCUCUUACUCGACGCCCACAGGCAAGCUUGUUUAGAGAAGGAGACUUUUUUUUUUCUUCAUCAGGGAAACUGCUCAACCUCCACUAUUCCCAUAAGCAUGAUUAUGCACUAGCAGACAUAAAGUUCCAAGAAGAGAAAACGCAUAACUCAUAAGCCAAAGAUGUAUUCGAUCCUGAAUUUAACGUAAUCUUGGCCGAUUGGUUUUCAGGGGUUAGGUUUUAUGAGCAGCAUCCUCAACUCCCAGUCCCGGGUAACUAAGAGGCUUUUGAAAGGUCUUUCAAAAGUAUCACAUUAACGAAUCAAAACAGAAACGAGUCAAGUUCAUCCGCAGGGAAAGAAAAUCUAAGGAAGAAGAGUGCUUAGCUUAGGUCGACUAACCGGUUAGAUAACUUUCUUAAAGAUUGGCUGUCCUACUUACCAUGCUUUCCAUGCCAUGUGCUUCCUCCAAUACUGGAAAGGGGCUGCCUUAUAUAGUCAAGCCCGUUCCUCAACAAGCUAAUUAAGGGCGGGCAGUCUCUGUCUGUUAAAAGAAUUCGAGAUCUCGGGCGAGGAAGUAGCAAUAGUCGAAGUCAAUUAAAAUAAUUCGAGAUCUCGGGCGAGGAAGUAGCAAUAGUCAAAGUCAAAGUGGAAGGAGAACUCCAUUCGAGUAUUACGCAAACUUUUACAUGCACUUGCUCUAGCUUCUUAAGAAAGAUUGAGACUUUUAGACCAAGCUUUCUGUAAAAACAGUGGGCAGGCACUAGUUCCGGAACUUAAACUCUCGUUUGAGCAGGUGAGUCAGGAAGUGAAAGGUCUAAAGCGAUAAGGCUGAC
RNAcentral lists this long non-coding RNA (1240 nucleotides) under Linum usitatissimum (flax). RNAcentral describes it as "long non-coding RNA (LUSI_LNC005910)". Lineage: Eukaryota; Viridiplantae; Streptophyta; Magnoliopsida; Malpighiales; Linaceae. The record is from RNAcentral.